RNAcentral lists this ribosomal RNA (461 nucleotides) under uncultured bacterium. Its description in RNAcentral is "bacterial SSU rRNA". It matches the Rfam family "Bacterial small subunit ribosomal RNA", at positions 15 to 518 of the family's 1533-position model. The record is from RNAcentral.
GAUCAUGGCUCAGAACGAACGCUGGCGGCAGGCCUAAGUCAUGCAAGUUGAACGGCUGUAGCAAUACAGCAGUAGCGGACGGGUGAGUAAUGUAUGGGAACGUAUCUUCUAGUGGGGAAUAUUCUUUGGAAACGAAGAGCAAUACCGCAUGAGUCCUACGGGAGAAAGUCGCAAGACGCUAGAUGAGCGGCCCAUAUUGGAUUAGCUAGUUGGUUAGGUAAUGGCUGACCAAGGCAACGAUCCAUAGCUGGUCUAAGAGGACGAUCAGCCACAGUUGGACUGAGACACGGCCCAGACUCCUACGGGAGGCAGCAGUCAGGAAUAUUGGACAAUGGGGGCAACCCUGAUCCAGCCAAUGCCGCGUGAGUGUUAAGGUCUUCGGAUUGUAAAGCUCUUUUGUGUGGGAAAAUGAUGAUGGUACCACAAGAAUAAGCACCGGCUAACUUCGUGCCAGCAGCAGC